RNAcentral lists this ribosomal RNA (423 nucleotides) under uncultured bacterium. RNAcentral's name for it is "bacterial SSU rRNA". It matches the Rfam family "Bacterial small subunit ribosomal RNA", at positions 358 to 773 of the family's 1533-position model. The record is from RNAcentral.
GGAAUAUUGGACAAUGGGCGCAAGCCUGAUCCAGCCACGCCGCGUGAGUGAUGAAGGCCUUCGGGUUGUAAAGCUCUGUGGGGAGGGACGAAAAAAGCGUUCAAGAAACGGGACGCUCUUGACAGUACCUCCUUAGCAAGCACCGGCUAACUCUGUGCCAGCAGCCGCGGUAAUACAGAGGGUGCGAACGUUGCUCGGAAUUACUGGGCGUAAAGCGCGUGUAGGCGGGUGAUCAAGUCGGAUGUGAAAGCCCUGGGCUCAACCCAGGAACUGCAUUCGAAACUGGUCGCCUAGAGUGCUGGAGAGGGAAGCGGAAUUCCUGGUGUAGAGGUGAAAUUCGUAGAUAUCAGGAGGAACACCGGUGGCGAAGGCGGCUUCCUGGACAGUUACUGACGCUGAGACGCGAAAGCGUGGGGAGCAAAC